GUGUCAGCCGCCGCGGUAAUACAGAGGUCCCAAGCGUUGUUCGGAUUCACUGGGCGUAAAGGGUGCGCAGGUGGGCUGGUAAGUUUGAUGUGAAAGCCCCGGGCUUAACCCGGGAAUGGCAUUGAAUACUACUGGUAUGGAGGGUUGGAGGGGGGACUGGAAAUCUUGGUGUAGCAGUGAAAUGCGUAGAUAUCAAGAGGAACACCAGUGGCGAAGGCGAGUCCCUGGACAAUACCUGACACUGAGGCACGAAAGCUAGGGGAGCAAACAGGAUUAGAUACCCUGGUAGUCC
Molecule: ribosomal RNA, 292 nt
Filed under: uncultured bacterium
Lineage: Bacteria
Description: partial 16S ribosomal RNA
Rfam family: Bacterial small subunit ribosomal RNA
Source: RNAcentral